Eublepharis macularius is the source of this 937-nucleotide long non-coding RNA. RefSeq lists it as uncharacterized. The transcript has 3 exons. The record is from RefSeq and is a predicted model, not a curated record. NCBI's taxonomy places the organism in Eukaryota, Metazoa, Chordata, Lepidosauria, Squamata, Eublepharidae.
CCUAAACCACCACUUGUUAAGUAAGGCCAGAGCUUUCCCAAAAUAGUAGCAGUCUGGCAACCUCAUAACACAUGAUACUUCAGUAGAAUAUUUAACAAAAGAUGCCAGAUUUUUUUAAUGGUCCCUUCCCGGUAGCUAUGCAUCAGUCUUGUAUAUCUUCAAGAUAUCAUCAUCUUAUUCCGGUAGAUAUAUUAUACAAUCUAAAAAUAACAAUUAAAAAUGUAUUUAUGCACUCUGCGCAUCUUUCCGCAAGAAGGCUCUGCCACACCUUCAUUUUUUCACCCUGUUGCCUUUUCCUUGAGUCUUGGAGAGAAUAAAUUGAACCCCUGCCCAGAUGUAGCUGAAGAUCUUCACAGCUGCGGAGCAUCCCGACAUCUUCUCCUCCGCCUGCAAAAGUUAACCCAAAAUGAAUGUGAUUCUUCUACUUGGUUUCUUUAGUCUGCUGUUCUUCACAACUACCCAAGGACUCCUUUGUAAUCGAUGUCGAUAUUACUUUUCUAAGAACUGUCCUCAGGAAGAACUAUGCACAUCGGAUCGUGGGAAAUGUUUCACACGAACUGUCUAUAAAGGUCCUAAAGGUAAAGAACUAGUUUGGAAUACUUACGGAUGUGUCAAAUGGUCAGAUGAGUCAGAGUGUGACAAGUUGUUCAUGAGGUCUGGAUUAAUCAAAAUUACCACUUGCUGCAGCUCUGAAAGAUGCAAUGGAAAUCCUGCUCCUUUCCCUCCUGCUAACUGUACCAGCAGUGUGUGAGACGGCAAAGGAUGCCCAAAUCUCUCCCUCGACUCAUCCACUUCACAGUCCAGCCAGAGAAUCGGAACCCCCUUUACCCUCUUUGAGCAGGCUCCUAAUUUAAGAGUCUGUACUUGAUAUUCUUAUUGGUUAAUCUGGUUUGUUCCUGGUAUAUCUUAAUUUCUUGAUAAGGUGGGAGUGAAAAGA